This is a non-coding RNA of Parasteatoda tepidariorum (common house spider), 143 nucleotides long. NCBI's taxonomy places the organism in Eukaryota, Metazoa, Arthropoda, Arachnida, Araneae, Theridiidae. The record is from RefSeq and is a predicted model, not a curated record.
UGAAAUUUAUAAUUCAUCUAUCCAGACAUCCAGCCUAUCAGUAACUAUUGAAAUAAAAUGAAUUUCCUUUGUCUCAUUCUCAUAUCGAGCUUGGCAUUCAUUUGGACAACUGUUGACGCUGGGUGUAGUAGUAACAGUCAAUG